UGCACUUAAAGAUGAAGCCGGU
Molecule: microRNA, 22 nt
Filed under: Macaca mulatta (Rhesus monkey)
Lineage: Eukaryota; Metazoa; Chordata; Mammalia; Primates; Cercopithecidae
Description: mml-miR-938
Gene: mml-miR-938
Source: miRBase by way of RNAcentral